ACUCCUACGGGAGGCAGCAGUAAGGAAUAUUGGGCAAUGGACGCAAGUCUGACCCAGCCAUGCCGCGUGAAGGAUGAAGGUCCUCUGGAUUGUAAACUUCUUUUAUCUGGGGCGAAAACAACUCUUUCUAGAGUUCUUGACAGUACCAGAGGAAUAAGCACCGGCUAACUCCGUGCCAGCAGCCGCGGUAAU
RNAcentral lists this ribosomal RNA (192 nucleotides) under uncultured Chitinophaga sp. Its description in RNAcentral is "partial 16S ribosomal RNA". It matches the Rfam family "Bacterial small subunit ribosomal RNA", at positions 335 to 524 of the family's 1533-position model. Lineage: Bacteria; Pseudomonadati; Bacteroidota; Chitinophagia; Chitinophagales; Chitinophagaceae. The record is from RNAcentral.